CCAUGGUUCUACAAUACAACUUCUCUCAGCUUUUUUCACUGAGAAAACUUGCUUGUAAAGUUAUACCUGGUUUUUCAGUUCAAAAGCUAAUGGACUACUUCGGAUGCCAGGCAAACGUGCUGGUGCUCGUUCACACAGGUCGUUUGCUCGGCAACAGACUGUCCGAUCGGAUGGGAAUUUAACGCCGAUUUUUUGAGCUGUUAUUACUUGGUUCAAGAUACACAUACUGACUAUCUAUUAGCAAACAGCACUUGUCAAACACUUGGUGGACAUCUGGCGGCCAUUUCUACUCCGGAGGAGAACUCUUGGAUAAAAACGAAGUUGUAUGCGGACUCAAUAAUGUGGCAACCCGCUUGGAUCCGUUAUGAUGAUAGGUUGUUUGGGUAUCAAAACUUGUCUGUCAGAGUACCUAACGUUCACAGUAAUGAU
Anneissia japonica is the source of this 429-nucleotide long non-coding RNA. RefSeq lists it as uncharacterized. NCBI's taxonomy places the organism in Eukaryota, Metazoa, Echinodermata, Crinoidea, Comatulida, Comatulidae. The record is from RefSeq and is a predicted model, not a curated record. The transcript is spliced from 3 exons.